AUACGUAGGGGGCGAGCGUUAUCCGGAUUUACUGGGUGUAAAGGGAGCGUAGACGGCAAAGCAAGUCUGAAGUGAAAGCCCCGGGCUCAACCCGGGAAUUGCUUUGGAAACUGUUUAGCUGGAGUGCAGGAGAGGUAAGCGGAAUUCCUAGUGUAGCGGUGAAAUGCGUAGAUAUUAGGAGGAACACCGGCGGCGAAGGCGGCUUACUGGACUGUAACUGACGUUGAGGCUCGAAAGCGUGGGGAGCAAACAGGAUUAGAUACCCUGGUAGUCCACGCCGUAAACGAUGAUUACUAGGUGUUGGUUGUCAUAGACAAUCGGUGCCGCAGCAAACGCAAUAAGUAAUCCACCUGGGGAGUACGUUCGCAAGAAUGAAACUCAAAUGAAUUGACGGGG
Molecule: ribosomal RNA, 396 nt
Filed under: uncultured bacterium
Lineage: Bacteria
Description: partial 16S ribosomal RNA
Rfam family: Bacterial small subunit ribosomal RNA
Source: RNAcentral